GAUGAAGAACGUAGCGAAAUGCGAUACUUGGUGUGAAUUGCAGAAUCCCGUGAACCAUCGAGUCUUUGAACGCAAGUUGCGCCCGAAGCCAUCAGGUUGAGUGCACGUCUGCCUGGGCGUCACAUAUCGUUGCCCAAUGCCUAUUGCAGUGCAAUAGGAAUUUCUAGGGCGAAUGAUGGCUUCCCGUGAGCGUUGUUGCCUCGCGGUUGGUUGAAAAUCGAGUCCUUGGUAGGGUGUGCCAUGGUAGAUGGUGGUCGAGUUAGAACGAUACCGAUCAUGUGCAUGCUCCCCAAAAUAUGGCCUCUAUGACCCACACGCGUCUUUUGACGCUCAUGACGAGACCUCAGGUCAGGCGGGGCUACCCGCUGAAUUUAAGCAUAUCAAUAAGCGGAGGA
This 395-nucleotide unclassified non-coding RNA is filed under the name soil metagenome. Its description in RNAcentral is "partial contains 5.8S ribosomal RNA, internal transcribed spacer 2, and large subunit ribosomal RNA". The stretch from base 1 to 122 matches the Rfam family "5.8S ribosomal RNA", at positions 35 to 154 of the family's 154-position model. The record is from RNAcentral.